UCCCACGGGGGGCAGCAGUGAGGAAUAUUGGUCAAUGGACGAGAGUCUGAACUAGCCAAGUAGCGUGAAGGAUGACUGCCCUAUGGGUUGUAAACUUCUUUUAUAUGGGAAUAAAGUGAGCCACGUGUGGCUUUUUGUAUGUACCAUACGCAUAAGGAUCGGCUAACUCCGUGCCAGCAGCCGCGGUAAUACGGAGGAUCCGAGCGUUAUCCGGAUUUAUUGGGUUUAAAGGGAGCGUAGGCGGAUUAUUAAUUCAGUUGUGAACGUUUGCGGCUCAACCGUUACAUUGCA
This 291-nucleotide ribosomal RNA is filed under the name uncultured bacterium. Its description in RNAcentral is "partial 16S ribosomal RNA". It matches the Rfam family "Bacterial small subunit ribosomal RNA", at positions 337 to 625 of the family's 1533-position model. The record is from RNAcentral.